This 490-nucleotide ribosomal RNA is filed under the name uncultured bacterium. Its description in RNAcentral is "partial 16S ribosomal RNA". It matches the Rfam family "Bacterial small subunit ribosomal RNA", at positions 30 to 507 of the family's 1533-position model. The record is from RNAcentral.
AUUGAACGCUGGCGGCAGGCCUAACACAUGCAAGUCGAACGGUAACAGGAAGAAGCUUGCUUCUUUGCUGACGAGUGGCGGACGGGUGAGUAAUGUCUGGGAAACUGCCUGAUGGAGGGGGAUAACUACUGGAAACGGUAGCUAAUACCGCAUAACGUCGCAAGACCAAAGAGGGGGACCUUCGGGCCUCUUGCCAUCGGAUGUGCCCAGAUGGGAUUAGCUAGUAGGUGGGGUAACGGCUCACCUAGGCGACGAUCCCUAGCUGGUCUGAGAGGAUGACCAGCCACACUGGAACUGAGACACGGUCCAGACUCCUACGGGAGGCAGCAGUGGGGAAUAUUGCACAAUGGGCGCAAGCCAGAUGCAGCCAUGCCGCGUGUAUGAAGAAGGCCUUCGGGUUGUAAAGUACUUUCAGCGGGGAGGAAGGGAGUAAAGUUAAUACCUUUGCUCAUUGACGUUACCCGCAGAAGAAGCACCGGCUAACUCCGUG